RNAcentral lists this ribosomal RNA (337 nucleotides) under Dziedzickia pectinata. RNAcentral describes it as "partial 12S ribosomal RNA". Lineage: Eukaryota; Metazoa; Arthropoda; Insecta; Diptera; Mycetophilidae. The record is from RNAcentral.
AGCUUUUUUCUUAGAACUUAAUAAAUUUGGCGGUAUUUUAAUCUAAUCAGAGGAACUUGUUUUAUAAUUGAUAAUCCUCACUAUAUCUUACUUAAUUUCGUUAAAUUUGUAUACCGUCGUCAUAAGAAUUUCUUAAAAAAGUAAAAAUGUUCUAAUAUUUUUAUUAAUAAUAAUGUCAGAUCAAGGUGCAGUUUAUAGUUAAGAAAAAAUGAGUUACAAUAAAGUUAUUUAUAAUGAAUAUAAAAAUUAAAUUUUUUAUUGAAGGUGGAUUUGUUAGUAAAAUAAAUAAAAAUUAAAUUUAUUUGAUUUUAGUUCUAAAAUAUGCACAAAUCGCCCG